UACGUAGGGUGCGAGCGUUGUCCGGAAUUACUGGGCGUAAAGAGCUCGUAGGUGGUUUGUCGCGUUGUUCGUGAAAACUCACAGCUUAACUGUGGGCGUGCGGUCGAUACGGGCAUCACUGGAGUUCGGCAGGGGAGACUGGAAUUCCUGGUGUAGCGGUGAAAUGCGCAGAUAUCAGGAGGAACACCGGUGGCGAAGGCGGGUCUCUGGGCAAUAACUGACGCUGAGACACGAAAGCGUGGGUAGCAAACAGG
RNAcentral lists this ribosomal RNA (254 nucleotides) under uncultured bacterium. RNAcentral's name for it is "partial 16S ribosomal RNA". It matches the Rfam family "Bacterial small subunit ribosomal RNA", at positions 524 to 776 of the family's 1533-position model. The record is from RNAcentral.